Long non-coding RNA from Oreochromis niloticus (Nile tilapia), 17635 nucleotides. RefSeq lists it as uncharacterized. NCBI's taxonomy places the organism in Eukaryota, Metazoa, Chordata, Actinopteri, Cichliformes, Cichlidae. The record is from RefSeq and is a predicted model, not a curated record. The transcript is spliced from 3 exons.
AAGAAAAAUUAAAAAUGCAUGCCAUGAAAGAGUUCGGGUCUUAGGAGGUUAAAGUUGCCAAUCCCAAUGUUUAUAAAAAGACAAGAGUGAAAGUGAAAGAAAAAUGACCCAAAAAAGUGAUCCAAACAUAUUACGUUAUGUUUAUCAAACAAUUCAUUUAUUAGCAUUUGCCUAGCCUAUGUCUCUGCUGCGCUCCUCUGCUCUGUUUCACCAUGUGUCUGCUCGACUCCAAAACAAACACAGUGCAACAGCGAGCAUAGGAGCGCAGCAAAACAACAGCAGAGAUUGUUUUGAUUCUGAGACCAGCAUUAGUUAGCUUAUGUAGCAUAUCGUUGCCAUUGCUUUUAAGUGUAUUUUACAGCCUUAUUCUGGGCAUAUAUUUUAGCUUUUUGAAUUUUGAGCACACAACCUUUCCGGUUAUAAAGGGAGGAGAUCUGUUUAUUUUCUUUAAGAAGCUGGUGAUGUCACUCAAAAUCCAAUCUUUUAUCUGCAUGGCAUGGCUCCAAUUUAACAUGCUUGUCCAGCCUAAAAAAACAAAACUUAUCUGACACUUUCACAGAAAAGUUUAAGGUCAGUCAUUCAGAUUAUUUGAGAUGUUAUAAUACAGUGCCAGUUUCCCUUUUGAUGCAGAUAUGUGAUGACAAACAUUUGGAGAUUUGACUCAACAUGUCAGUAAAGACAAACAUGGUGCUUAAGCUGGAACAACAACAACUUGUAUUUGACUUCACCAUGACUGACAGAGGUCAAAGGGCAACAGGUAGUAAACACUGGGAUUAAUGAAUCGGUCACUUUGCCUUUCCUCAAGAAUUAGCAGUCCAUUAGCACCUUGUAAAAGGGCCACUUCUAUGCUUUACAACAGCUUAGGCCUGCUUUCACACAAAUACCGAAGCAAAGAUACUCAAUGCAGUGACAGAGUUAGGGAAACAGGGUUCCUGGUAUAUAACGGCAGAAAGACACAGAGGAAUUAAGUCUACAUAGCCCACUUCAAUGCACAUUUAUUACUUUGAUAUAAGCUUAUUAAACAAACCAAAAACAUUUCUUCACAGUCAAUCUGAGCUAAUUUUCCCCACAAAAACCAAAAAAAAAACAAAUUAGCAUAAGAUGAAGUGGGUCAUUCUCAUGUCUUGAUUAAAGUAGGCCUCAGCUUUGCCCAAGUGGCCAAGCAGCAGACUGCAAGUUCAGCUUUGUGCACUGAAGGCCUUAUCAGGGCCUCUUUCAUAAACAAGAGGAGGAGGGGAAAAAAUAGCCCCAUCCAACAUAAUAAAAGGGAGCAUCAAAGCAGCUAUAGAAGAGAAUCAGUCAGAGUAUUAGACGCCACUAGGGGUUGUCAACGUGAUGGCUUAGAUGUCACUGGAGAACAUCUCCAUGGAUGUAAAGCGGGCAAACAAAUUAAGAGGGAUGAGCUCGCACUUGGUGGAUUAGUAUUAGAUUUAUGAGGACAACUUAGAGCCAGUGCAAAGCAAAGAGUACACAAGUCUGUCAAAGCUGUGAAGAGAAAAAGCACCUUUACACAUUUAAGUUCAAGCGACGAUCGCUAUGUAAGACUCACUGUAGAGUUAUUUGACUAUGGAGGUGUUCAUGUAAAGAAGAUCUGAGGUACAUAACAAACCGGCUCGACUUGACAGAGCACUAUCAUUAAAGAAGACUGCAACAUCAUUUCUCUUAGUUAGCACAGGCAACUGUGGCAUAGCAUCUUCUCUAAAGUCUACCCUUAGUGUCUGACUGUGAGAGGGUGGUGAGGCGAGCCCUACACUCAGGAGUCCAACUGUAAAGGAUAUGAGGCACCUUUAUGUCAACUAUGAAUGAAUGUUUAAAUGGAAUCUUUGAAUGCAAAGCUUCUUGAAUUCAAGAAGAUGGAAAGAUCCUUUAAUGCGCUGAUGAUUCCAGCAGCGGUUUCAUCGCUGACUAUACGGACUAAUACGGCGCCUGGUCCUGAGAGCCCCGAGCCCGAGACACUCAGAAUUCCAUAUGCGAGACGAUGCGAGGGUAUUUUUAGGCCAGCACAAUUUCCCUGUGACACAUUUACUGCGAAGGACCUCAAGAGUGAUAACGUGUACAAACUGCAGUCUGCUGAGGAGAGCGACAGCAAUACUUGGAGCCACAGGAGAGACAGGCCAAUUAAUGGCAAGACGUCCUCUGAGUGCAGCCCUCUGUAUAAUCCCACAACCUACUUUAUGGCGAACACUCCCCUCUUGCGCUGAUGUGUGCAUCAUUAAUCACAUUUCAUAUCAAAUGCAUAUCCCUAGCCACAAAUAUUCACUCCCAAAUCUCUAAACGAUGCAUGUCAAACGCUGUUCUUUACCAGAAAGAGCGGCUCAAACUUUCCACAUCUGAUUAUAAAGCAAAAGGAGCUGGCUAAACGUUUAAAAUGUUUAAUGCAAUACCUUCAAAGUUGAAACACCUCCAUACUUCUAUUUCUGAGCGAUACCACGUGAAAAGACUGAAAAUGCACUUAUGAAAGCAGCUUUCCAGGGAGAAGAAGAAAAAGAAGGAGAAAAAAAAGUAUGAUGGUUUUAACUUCAAUUUAACCAAUGCCACUUAAAGCCAAGCUCUCAAAAGUCUAGCUCAGCACGCAGAACUGGCACUUGAGACAUGAAAGGGCAGCUGCGACUUUUGGUUUACAUUAUAUCUUAGUGGUUUCCACAUUGUGGCCAGGGGAUAAGCAUCAGGAGAGGUUUAUCUCUGUCACAGCGCUCUAUGGAAUAUGUAAACACUACGUGUAAUCAGUGCCGCAGUGAAAUGGAGUGCAGGGGCUGUGUGGGAAAGUGAAGCACUUUAGGAAUAAGUCGACAUCUUUACUCGCUGAGCUCAAGCAAAGAUAAGGCGCUGGAAGCAAAGCUGCAGAACCUGUAAUGCUACUGUUGCAAAACAAAACACUCAUUGCUGAAAACUGCUGCAAAUGCUGAACACGUGCAUUUUUGCAAUGAACAAAAUCAGCAAGCCUUAUGCAAGUAGCACUGUUAAGUUAGUGUUAACUUUCACUUUGCUUAAGACCUUCGCUCUCAUCUAUCUUCAUCUCAUCCAUCUCUUGGCUUUACUCUGUCAGCGUGUCUUUGUCCUCGUCAUCCACCCAGCGAGGCGGCGGCGCUCCUCCUUUUUUUUUUUUUUUCCCUUGUGGAGCACGGGUACUUGUUCUAGACGAAGAGCCUCUCUCCCUUCUAGAGCCCAAGUUUUAAUAUGGUGUCCAAUCAAAAGUGAUUAAGCAUCGCAGAGCACAAACAAUGCUGGCCCUUAAAUCUCUGUGAACCCUCAUUCACUCGAGCGAAUGAAAGAACACUCUGUCUGCGGCGGCAGAUGACAGACGCGCGCUUGAAGAUAAGUCUUCUGCGUGAGCCCUUAUCCUGCGAACACCCGCCGUUUGAGCAAAUAAAGAAAUAAAUAAAUGCAUUACAAAACGCCACACACAACAGAACUGGGUGCCACCUCUAAAAAGGCAUCAGUGGGGGAGGAGAAGGCUGUUAUUUUGUCCGUCAGUGUUACGUCCCCGACAUGGUGCCUCGAGAUGAUACCUAAAACCAAGUGGCACCGGACGAGGCCCAGUUGAGUAAGUGAACCAUAACUCAGCUGAUGGGAAUUAAGUCAAGAAUAGAGGACAAACAUGCAUGCAGAUGCAAAGACAGCGCAGUGAAUAAAAAGCCUGUUAAUGUUCAAGCACAAACCCAACUGCGAGCAAUAAAUCACUAAUAAAAUCAACCAGCUGCCUCAAGCGCAGCAUCUUUCACAUGAGAAAUUUCAAAAAAGCAAAUUUCCCACAAAUCAUCCUGUCUUGUACAUAAAUUACCAACAAUUACAAUGCAUAAUGUAUGCGGUAGUAAAACAAUACCCUGAACUAAUGCAUUAGAUACGUGCGGUACACAGCAGCAUGAACAUUUAAGAAAAAGGGGGGACGCUAACUAAUGCUGAGAAGAUAUUGUUCUUUCUUUUUUUUUAAAUGCCAAGUGCAAGAGCAGAAUUACUUGGCAGCUGUUGAGCGAAUUUUUCAUCAUUAAUAUAAGAGCUGCUCGCUGAGUUGCUUAAAUACUCUUUUUCAGCGCGUGUAAUGCGAUCUUGUACACGGUAAGCUUCCAUUUCUAGCUGGAAUGACUGCGGGAAAAUACUGGAACCAGUCCGGCUAAACAUGGCAACCCCACUUGCGCGUAUAUUCUGUUAUAUUUAUUUUUUUCCCUAUAAAAGUUUGCUGUUGAACUGUUACAGCAUCCAAAAGGCACUGUUAGCAGAUCUCUAUUAGCCCAUUUCAGGGAUUCAAUAACCAUACACACAUGUAGACGCAUUAGCAAAUUUGAAACAGAGAGAAGCAGACAAGCGUCAUCACUGAGAAGUCAUGAGAGGGAGGAGCUGGCACUAUGACAACAAGACAUUAGCCGUCUGCAGCCUGCUGCCGUCAACAAGUCAGCAUGAGCACUACCAUCUGACUGGGCUUUCCCAACACUGCCCCCAUACACUCAGCCAAAACUAGCUCUUGCUGCUGCUGCUGCUGCUGCUGUUACUGGCUCCUGCUUUCAAUUUCAAGAGUGGGCCAAGUAAUGGCUUCAGCGUUUUGUGGUCUGCCGACACAUAUGGUCCGUGUAGCAGAACCAGUUCUGCCCCCCCACCUCCUCCCCUGUAGAUCGUUUUGGGACGUGCACGGAGAUGUGGGCAGAAGGAGACUGACACAGCCCCAGGGGCUGGCCGCAGUUAUGAAGGGAGACGUGUACGGGUCUUGUUAUGACUGCCAAGAGAAUUGGUCUCAGCGGGGCCACCGCUGCAAUCAGUCCAUUGCCACAACGUGCAGAACUAACCAAACAGUACUUGUUUAAGGUUUGGGCCUUUCUGAAAAUAAUGUGUAGGAGGUUCUUAAAAAUGCCACCAGCUGCAUCCUUCCCAAAAACACUUUAUGCAUGACCAUAUGAGGAAUCGACCCCAACUUUGACCAAAUGGAGAACUCAUUAAUAAUUAGGUCAACUUCCCAUUUAGCCUAAUGGUGGACGAAAAAAUUGUAUUUACAUUAAAAACAAAACUUUUAUGAGCCGUCAUAGGAAGGGCCACGUUAACCUUUUCUUUAUUGCUCCCAUCAGCACUAACAUCACCGCUGGCAGUUAGGCUAUCUCUGCUGUGGACGCUAUCUGGCUGCAUGACCUAGAUUAAAGGUUAUUUGCUCAAGUCACAGAGGCUGCUCCUUUGGCUCGCCCUUGUUGGGUUUCCUUAUCGGAGUUUGUCUGGACAAAUCUUGGACACAAAGCACCCAUUUUGUGCUCCUCUCUGGAGAUCCUGUUACAGCGUUCCAGACACGACGCGGUCCGCCACCAGUGCCUCUGGGAGCACGGCGUUUGGUUGGGGCGGUGCGAUUAGCUGCUUCCUCAACUUCAAGCAUAUGAUACAUGUGAACUCCUCUUACGUCCCUGAGCAUGCUUUUGUGCCACGACAGGGUAAAAUGAUCAGGGGGGGUCAGAUGAUGUCAUGCUGUGAGAAUUCGGAUAAAGUGACCCUCCCAUCCUCAUUACCAAAAGCAGAAAACAUACAAGAUGAUCCAAGGGUCCUCCAAGUAAAUUCUGCCUUUAGCUACUUAACUACUUUUCUUUUGUAACUACUAAAAUUCACAUUUGUUGCACAAUAACGCCCUUUUGGAUAUUAAGUAAAAAAGUGUCCUGUCAUUAGAUGUACUAUGGAAAUAAUUGAGCAUCUCCACCCAGCAGGAUGAUCCAGUGGCCUUAUUCCUCCUGUGCUCUACAAGGACAAAGAACAACUAAGAGAGCAGGGUCGAGCGAGGCAGGGAGAACGAGGAAAACGAGAGAGAAAAAGAGUAGUGUUCGCUGACCUCAUUCUGACAAGCCCGGGAAGAGUCUUUCCUUGGAACCGUUUCGCAAUAGCACUGUUGUUUAUACAGGUGGUGGGUGAGUCGAGCGAGAUAUGCAGAGAGCAUGCAUUUUGCAACACCUCAUUAUGAAUACUAAACACAAGCAGCAUGUCAAAUCGCACAGCGCACACACAAACAAGCACUUCACCCACACUCCUAAGAGUGGUUCAAGUUUCAUUUAAGUUGUGACAUUUGCAGGGAAUGCGUCACUUUGUGGGCAGUGGCCAAAUCAUCCCUCUCUGUUUAAAUUUCAAAGUCAAGUUCCUUCACACAACCCAAGAGCUGUCAAACGCUACUGUCCCCUCGUAUUGGCCGCCAACUGCAAGCCUCUUGGAAAGGAUGCCUCCGGUUGCCUUGUGUGUUUGGCUUUUGGGCCGUCUUCGGCAACAACAUCCACUUGGCCAGAGUUCAGCCCUGUGGAAGGCUACAACAGCCCAAAGGUAGCUGCCGGGGCCAUUGUUUAUGCAACAGUAUACUACUGCCAGGUUAAAUGGAAAAAGAGCAAAACAGUGGAGGGAAAUGAAGGGCUCCUACCUGCAGAAAUAAGCUUCUGUCUUUGUACACAUGGUGAGACACUUUAAGAAUAUUAUUACAACUCUUUCUUUUCUUUUCUGGAGCCAAUAUCUUAAGUAAGUUAAUUCACAAAUUGCACAUAUGUGAGAAUAACCCUGUGAAUUUAUAAAUACUAUGCUUUAGAUAACCUACUGUCUUUUCUAAAAGAGGAACACUCUUGAAAUGACACAAAAUGGAAAACCAGGACCUUAACUAAAAGCCAUUUAAAUUUAAUGAAAUCUUACCCAAACUAAAUAGAUUUUUGUGCUUUUAUUUCUGUAACAGUUGAAGCCUGAAAACAAACCCAUGCGUAAGUUAAUGUAGCGCCUAUCUUAUUUUUCCCACUAAUCAAUGAGGUGAACCAAAUCCAUUAUAUCUUCGAAAGAUGUGGAAAAAAAGGAGAAAGGAUCCACACAACAGCUGUUUGGUAAACAUACCAAAGUAAUUGUUCCAAAUGCCUUAUUUUAACACAGAUUAAAUACAAUUAGAGGCUGUUUAUCUAAUCACAACAAGUCACUCUGCCAAAAGAAAAACCGCUGUCAUUGUUCCUAGCAGUUCUGCUCCGAGGGAUUAAGCUGGAAAUAGGAUAACUUUUUUUUUUUUUUUUAAACAUAGCUUCCUUAUGUACAGGAAGGAACUUUUACACACAAACAAAGCAUAGGCUAACUGCACAGCAAGGCUGCAGGGAAAGAAUAUGGCUGGAUGGUUGGCUGGCUAAGGCAAGGGUCUUCUGAGGUGAAUACGAGGAAUUCAGGUCAGUGCAGCCGAGACGUUUAACCAGAUCAAGCCGCUGCAGCCUGGGUGGAAAUAGCAUGGGAGGCCACGGAGGGGGAAACCAGUGCGUCACAGCUCCCGGCCUGAAUCCAGGCUCACCCCGCACCCCACCUCCCCAAUGCAAACAAGAGCCAUAACUUCCCUAAUGAUCUGAGAUCAUGUACGCCUCACACACACUUCGCCAAUAGGAAGCGCUUCCUCUCCACCUUUGACCUCAGAGUGGGUGUGUCUACCUUCGACUUGACAUGCAGAUCAGGAAUGGUGCUAGAGUGAUUUGAUGAAUAGUUAGUGGCAAGUUCAUCUAUGAGGUUUGAAAAAAGAAAAGCUUUAAUCCGAGAAAAUCUUUCUGCAACACCACCAAAAUCUUGAAAAAUCUGAUUUUAAGCCCCAACAAAUCUCUUAAUAUCUUAAAUGUUUGCCACAUUUUGAUAAUCUGACACUGACUUGUUUUCAUUUACAGUCUCUCCUCCUCCCCCCCCUACCCGUCACACACAAUUGCUCUGUGAUUCAGAAGUCCAACACCGCACUCACUCACACACACACAUUGUAAACAGUCUUUAUUGAGACGUGAGUGCUUGUAUAAACAUAGACAAGCUCUAUUGAGGGUCCGGGGCUGGGUCGAACAAUAAGAGGGGGAAAGUUGCUGGACGUUCCUCACAGACGGUGUGUACAAAAUCCAAUUAUCAGAGCCGUGGCAUUAACAUUCCAGCAGUCUGGCAGGUGACGGCUCCGUCUUUUCAGCUCCCACCACCACCAUCACACACACACACACACACACACACACACACACACACCGCCAGCAUGGGAUAGUCUCCCUAGGCAGCACCUCGACAAUACACUUACACACAUGCAGCCUUCUUCAGCUCCCCCUUUCUAAGAACCCCCAAGUAUUGAGACAUAUAUAGCAGGAAGAAGGCAAAGAGAGGGGAGGCAGUUGGGAGGAGUGUGGGGUCCACCAGCGACACUGAUCUUUUCUUCAGGAGAUCAGCGCAACCAGCCUAGCAGGCAGUAUCAGUCAAUGGGGCAUUCUUCUCCUCUCUGUGUUUGGGUGAGAAUAUGUUGAUCGCCGAUAACGGCGCUUUGAUUGCCAUAAUGGGGAAACCGCGUUUUGUUUUGAGCAUUUGCCUAAAAACAGUGCAUGCUUUGUCAGCCUUCGGGAGAUGUUUGCGGCAUACAAGACGCCGAACUCGACAAGGGUUGAAGGUAAAACAAAACUAUUGCUGUUCUUGGCUACAGGGCGGCGUCUGAAGGAUUAAAAUAAAAGCCGGCACUUUAGGGCUUCUCAGCGCGGGAAGCAAAACACACAAAAAAAUACAACUAAACAACUAAAACUGAGACUUAAAAGUGCUUCUUCUUUGAUUACACACACUAACUCCUGUAAUUAGCCUCUGCACCUUCUUCCAGCAUUAAUCCGUCCGGUCUCACAAAGCUCUAUCCACCGUGCAUCGUUACCAGGUUUUCUUUUUUUUUUCUAAACAUACUGUACAUAUAGACCUUAUCACUAUAGGAUAUGGUGUACGUGAUCGUGUGCAUGUGAUAUGUAACGCCUCUGCCUGGUGUCAUGCUCUAUAUCCUUGUCAGGUCCUAUAUAUAAACAUACAUCUGGCCCCCAUUCUGCUCUUUCCAUCAUGUCAUCCUGCCUACAUGGGAGCAGGCUGUGGGAGAUACAUACAGUACAGUACAGGACAGGACAGUAGGGCUGGAAGAAAUUAUUGUUUUCAUUUUUUUUUGACUGAUUCUUUUUUAUUAAAUGUCAAAACGCCUGGGCUUAGGCUUCCCAGAGCCAAAAGGAAAUCUUUCUUUUAUGGUUUUUGCUUGACAAGUAGGUUUAGAUUCAAGCAAAUUCAACUUAAAGAUGCAUAUACUAAGAAAAAAAAUGCUCAGGCUGAAAGCUGGGAAUAAGAAACGUUUGACAUUUUUCGCUUUGUAAAUGAUGAUUAAUGAAUCUAAAUUAAGCUGAACUAACUUUUUCUUGAUCAACUGAUACAGUACAUGUACUGAAGCCAAACACCCAACUGCUUAAUCAUUAUAUGCAUUUAUUCUGCAUCAAUAGCUAACUAGGAUUUUAUGGGCAUUUUGACUUGAUGUUGUAUUCCUUCCUUUAAAACAGUUACCGGUUUUUUAAAAAAACGCCACCUUUAGCUUCUCUUUUCACAGCUUAAAGUAACUGAGAAGUCUACUUUGUCCCCCUAUAAACCUCCUUUUGUUGCUCCUAUUCUCCCCCCCUCUUUGUGUGUCGCUGUCCUCCUUUGCGGUGAGAUGUUAGUCAAGUGUCUUGUGGCUUUCUCCACCCUCACCAGAAGGCCUGCCCGCGGUUAAUUAUUCUUGGAUGGCGGAUGAAAAAAAAGUGAGUUCUCUCUCUUUUUUUUUUUUUGUUCUUUUUUUCAUUAGCUCAGCAGCAGUUUCCCAUUCAUAAUAGUUGGCACUGGUUUCGCUCUGCCUGCCAGAGAUCACACCCCAACCAUUUUCAUUUUCCUUCAUCCAUUUGUUUCAUUCAUGUCAUAGAUUUGGCAGGGGCCUGCAUCGUUUUCCUGAUGGCCGCCGACCCUUCAACACCCUCCUUUUGAGUCUCAAACUCCCGUUUGUGGCUUUGUUUUGGAUAAGAGCGGAGAAAAUGUGGAAAAAAAUUUUCAUGCUGGUUCGUAUCCAAGGGUUGUUGUCUUACUGUAUUUCAGGACUGGAAUUAUUAAUUGUAAUGUAAAACUGAAAAAGGGAUACUUUAGCAAAGCCAUAUGAAGCUUUGCUGACAUGCCCUUGGAUGAAAAGAAAGUCAUAAUAAAACUUUUCCUGGGAAACUGAAUGAAUAUGGUUUAUGUAUGUGUGUGUUGGUAUAAUUCCAAAGUUAAAAAGAACCAUUAAGGACUGUGGGUUACCAUUCCCUUGCCUUCACACAGUUUAUCCCAUAAAUUUGCACAAGCAGUGAGUGCACUGAGUAAUACGCUCUCCACCAGAACUUUAAGUCUAUUACACAGUGCGUUCAACAAUCUGAGGCCCGGAGAAACAGCAUUUCAUCAUGCAACUACUGGAAAUAUGCCCACUGACAGGGAAUCUGGAUCGCACCAUCACACACAUAUUUAAAAAAACAAACAAAAAAAACUCUUCCCACCCACCUGUUCAUGAGACAUUUUGCUAAAUCUAUCAACUUCAUCUGCUUGCAUGUAUUUUAUUCCAUACCACACAGGCCCACAAGCAGAAAGCACACGCGUUUGCAUGUGCAUGAGUCCAAACAUUCAAAUGUAACGUACACGUCUUCUCUCUGGGGCUGCAACCCGAUCCCAAAGCACUCCAAUGUGACAUUAAAAACCCAGACUCUUUACCGUUAGGAACCUGGAUUCCCAACAUGGAAACAAACAAGAUGGCUGCCGUGUCUCCAACUGAAGGCGGUGUUCCUCGGCUCCCAUCUGAAUGGAGUUAAGAGGCUGGCUAGCAGGAGCGGAGAGGAGAAGAGUCUCCUGGGGCAGUUGGCUCAGCAAGCGGGACCAGAGGAUGGCUGCACCGUGGAUUAGGGCCCCACAGUGGUCCAUUGUUAAUUGGGCGCCAUGUGUGAAAGCUACAGAGAGAUUAGUUUGUACAGCUGCUGCCAUUUGUCAUAACUGCCCUUAACAAGACACACAUGGCAACGCAAGUUACAGCCAGAAGUUUUGCAGAAAAAAAAGGGGAGUAAAAAAUGUCAGGCGAGCGUCUAACAGUUUGCAGAACAGGGCCCGCAUAAGCAGAUGAAGAUGUUCCUGGGAAACACCGAGCAGACUCGGCGGGGAUCCCAUAAGAGAUGAUGAGCUUGAGCAUUACUCAUUUAGCCAUCUGUAGGUCAACUAGAGUCAUUAUCAUAACUGCUCAAAAGGACUAUGCUAAACCAGCACAGAUCCCAGACCACAGGUUGCAAACAAUUCGGUGAAAAUUAUGAGGGAAGAUCUGCGAUUACAUCACGGCCCUGUUGGGCAGAGCUCAAAUUAGUCAGCGUCUGGGUUUUGUUCAACGAGCAAGAGUGGGAUACAACACAGAUAACAAGAGCCUGAUGACCUCCUGUUAGCCAAAUUUCCCUACUAAUGUAGAAUACAGCAUUAGGUUUAGGAGACGGAUGGUGGAGGAGAGGCUUUUUUUUAGGGGGCGAGUAGGAAUGUGCAGUGUAAUUGUGGGUUGUAGCUGCCGGAGUGGCGAGGAGUUGCUGCUCAACAAAACUAAACGCAGUCUUUUGAGGAGAAGUGCAGGGACGCUUCUCUGAAAGUCCCUUUGAGCUAAACAACCAGCUGGAGCUUUGUGCCAGCAUAGAGAGCAGGACAAUUCGAGAAGAACUCAAGCUGUUGGGAUCCGGAUCGUCACACAGACUUUUAGUGGACACCAUGGUAACGAAGCCUCUUCUUCUUCAGGAAAAAUAAUGGACUUCAUUAACCAUCCUGUUAGUGCUCCUGCUGGCUUUAAUCACGGGAGCACACACGGCACUGGACCAGCCCAUUCCUAACACAAGUAUUAGCACUUUGGGCAAACAAUUUCAUCAUUACUACAACAUCAAAAUUCCCCUCAUUUCAUUUUGAAAAAGUUAUAAUUAAUAGCUACAUUUUGUGAUUACAAUUUGUAGUAUGGUUUAAAAUAGGAAGAGUUUAUUUUCAUUUCUGAUUUAAGUUGCUGGGUUGUUGUGAAUGCUGCGUUUAUGCCGGUGCAAUUCUCCCAUAUUUAUGCACAUCUCCACAGAAAAUAUGAAGGAAAUGUGCACUUUUCUGUUCUCCUUUUUAAUCACUGAGUUUGUUUUACUAAUGCCUUGAUGUAAAGAGAGAAACAGAACUGCCUGUGACAGCGGAGAAAGUACCUCUGUGGAAAAUGUGUAACAUCUGCAGUUUGGUGAUCCUGAGAUAUGAGAUUUUCAUGUCGUUACAAACAACAGCGUCCAUAUUUCCUCUCCUCCUGUCUACCCCGUGUAUGGCUCACUUUAAUCAAACACAGCCCUGCUGCUCAAAGAUGCUGUCUUUCGUGAAAAGAUAGCGUGUUGCUGUACAUGCUACAAAUGUAAAUGACUUCUUUUCCCCUCUUUUGCUAUAUAACUUUUCUUACUAAAAAGUUACUGUAAGAGCCAGUAAAAAUAAUACAUAUGCACUCUGUGUUUAUUGUUUAUUGCUCUGCUGCUUAACAGUUGGUUUCUAAAUUUGGGAGGGUUUUUUUUUUUUGGGAAAAGUCAACCCAACAUAUGUGAGGGAGGAGUGCAGCUCCUUUUGCUUGCUUUGACAACUCAAUGGGGUGCUGAUGAAUCCGUCCCAAGCAGGCCAUUCCCAAGCCCCAGACACCAUAUCCCCUCUCUGACCCACUGCACUGACUUUAGAAAGAAAUUCUCUGGGGAUUCGCCCCCCACCCCAAACAACAACAUGCCCACCCAAAAGUACAUUUCGCACAGCGCUGUGAUGGCGGGCCCCUCUUUUUCUGUUCCACUCAGGUCUUGUCGAGCCGUCACAGUGAUGGGCCGUACUGUAACGCCAGACAAAGGAAGAGACAACCAUCACUCUAGGCCACUGAUCGGCCUUGUCUGGCCUGAAAAGACUUUGAUGGGGCAAAGCAGAGUGGGGGGUGCUGCUCAGAGAAGUCAGUGUCUCCUGGGCAACCACUCCGAUUGUCUGUCCCUGCCCAAAGUUCCCAAUAACACCCCACCUACUACCCCUUCCUUUUUUUUUUUCUUCCCUUCAUUGGUUGUUCACAAGCCUCCAUCCUGGGUGAAGGGGACUGGCUUUUGCAUAAAAGUCUCAUUCUGAUACUCGAGGGUGCUUUUCUCCUGACUGACUGGAAAAAAUGCAAGGUCAAAGAACAUCUUCACACAAAUUCUCUAACUAAGACUUUUUGUCUUCCCUCUAAACCUUCUUAUCCUUCUUUUCACUCCAGACUCUGCUGUCUUACAUGACCAGUCUAGCAGGCAGAUGGGACAACAGUAGGUUUUUCUAGCAGUUACGCUAGUACAACGGCGAAGAAGAGGGCGCAGCCACUGGAUGGAGAAGCUCAGGCAGCAGGGAGGGCCCGCUUUGUAAGGCAGGACAGUGAUAAGGUCUGGGAUAAGGGUGAAUGUACCCAUUUGUCUUCAUUUGGUAGGACUGGCAGACAGGAUGGGGGGUGGGGAAUCUAUCCGGGUGAAGUGGGAGGUGCCGGUCCUCCAGUCAAGUGGCCUCGGGGGGAUUUGAAAUGCAUUUGGGGUCCUCCCCAAAAAAGCCUGGGAAAGUGUGGGGAAGCUGAGAUCUUAACCAUAGACUAAUGACACAAACUGCAGACCUUAACCAAGUGUAGCCACGAACGCAAAACUGAGUCUCCUGCUGAAAUACACAAGAAAAGCCUUUUCAACACAAUGCCCGAGCCUCACAAUGCAGAAGAAAGGCCUCGUCCCGUUUUUUUGACAGAUGCAACAGCGCAAACUGUGACACAAGCAAAUUAAACAUACUGUAGCGGAGCAAAGGAGGGAGUUGUAAAUUUUGUUGAGAAAGAAAGCAUCCACAUUUCUCUGUGGCCUCUGCUCCGAGUUGCCUUGUUUCCAUGGAGAUUUAUGUACACAUGGCACACAAAAGAGGGCUAAGGAGGUAACACGGCCUGUUUAAGCCUUGAGGUAUUUGCUCGAGCAAAGCCCCGCUGCUAAUAACACAAGCUUCAUACUGUGCCAGGCAACCUGGCUGCAAUGCACCCAGGUUAGUUUUUGAGAAAGAGCAGGAGAGGAAAGAAGGCAGAAGGAAGUCAGAUGGAGAUCACAAAACAACCAAAGAUCCUGGAAAGGGGGUGAAGACAUUAAUACAGAAAGAAAAUAAGCGAGAGAGCAAGAAAGCAAGCGAAAAAAAAAAAAGAAAAGGAAAGAAAGAAAGAAAGGCUGCACUGCAAAACAUAAAUAGCUGCCGGGUUAAGAGAAAAAGGAUCGGGAAGACAUUUAGUGGGAAGCGGAAAUCAAUAAGGCAAGCGGUGAAGCUGGGAGGGAGUUCUAAGUGGAUUAGAUUGAGAGAAUGUGUUCGAUAGGUUAUGGCUCUGAGAGAGAGGUAGCCAGACACCGCAGGCUCUAUUGCAUACUAAUAAGGAAGCCAGCAUGGAAGCUAAGCACAGGGUUGUGCAGUUCACUGUGAAGAUUUUUUUCUAUAUAUCUCUGGCAUCAGUGGUUACGGUUUUUCCCAGGGUUUGGGGUUUAGCUUGUUCCUUUAAAUUCAUGUUCAAGAAUAAAACUCCAUCUCGACAGCAACGAGAGCCAUUCUCCAGACUUGUUCUAACAUUAUGGCACAAAAUUUACAAGGAGUUGAGUAACUGUAGUUAAACUUGACAGCGGUGUCUUUAAUGCGCUCCUCCUUACAACAAGUUUUGUUUCACGUUUCUGGCAUAAACCCAGCAGCCAUUUCUCUGGCCAAGCGCCUGGGCCUGGGACAGCUGUCAUGGUCGGAGUCUCAGGCUUGAGGGAAAGCCAGGGACUGAGAAAAGAAAAGAGAACGGGAGAGAAAAGGAGUGAGAGUCACUUGGCCGGGCAGUGUGCCGCAGGGGUGAUUCCUGAUGGCAGAGGAGGAUAAGGGGAUACGAGGGGGGAGAGAGGCAGGGAGGGUUAGAUGUUGUGCUUAGUCACAGACCUCCACUGUGACCCAGAAGGUCAGACCUCCGCACUGGCCGCCUGACCAAAGCCUCUGAGGCAGCCAGGCGGAAAACAAGAUGCAAACAGCGAUCCCGAGCAGUGUGGCGAGCAGGCAGUGGAGAGUCUUGAAGAUACCGACCAGCCAGACUACCCAGCCUGAGGGAUUGGUUCAUUGGGUGGAGGGGUGUGUGCGGGAGACAAUCACAAGGGCUUACUCCCCCUCACUUAGGCCAGUGAACCAAGGGACCACCGGCUAUACCACAAGAAGUGGCAGAAGAGCGGAGACAAACAGUUGCCAAGAGACCAUCGGUGAUCCCACGACCGCUGUGGUUUGACCCCGAUUGAAGAGUUCAACGAGAGGGGCUUAAGAGAAGCCGCCCUUCCCCUAACAGCUCUGCUGACCACCACCACCCCCACCACCACGGCAAAAAGUCUUCCUCCUCCACGUGCCCCGGGCCGGCACAGGCAUGUUUUCACUGAUCUGUUUUGCUCAAUUAAACUUCAGAGGACACCCUGUCACAUCUCUUUGUAAAGGUCGUGACCUUAGGGGCAGAGGUUAAGCCUGGCAAUUGUAAAACAAGGUUUUGAUUAACAUGGCGGCUUGUAUCCGGAGGUAAUCCAUCCAUUUCUACAAACUAUCAUGGAAAAAAAAAAGUUACAUCACGGGGGGGUGUGGGUGGGAGUAAAGGUAAUGAUGUUUUAUGGCCACGUUAACUUUCAGCACACGACUAAUGGGAAGGCUGCUUGACCUUGACUUCUUUCAUCCCGAUUUGGACUACCUCAGCAAUCCUCGACUCUCACGGUUUCUAAGGAAAUACACUGCCAACUUUCUAAAUUCUCAGAAAUCUUUUUAGGGAUUAGUCACUGAACGAUUUUAUACAUUACGCAUGCGUCUUAAUAAAAAAGCCUUUUUACAAUGUUAUUCUCUCAUUUCUCCUUUUUUCCAUACAUGGCCAGAAAGAACAAGUGAACACAAUAAGUAUAUCUCUGCAGUUGCUUGAACAAACAGGGAUGAGCAGCCUAACAAAAACCACAUACAAACGAGGCCUAGAGAGUCCCAACAUGUCCCGACACGAUGAUUAUCUACAUGCCCCAUUGCAACUAUUCCAUCACGCUGUCAAACUGGAUAUGCAAAAUAUGAAUCCAGGAGGUGAGAGUUGAUGAUUUAAAAAGAACAAAAACAAAUAAGAAUUCCCCUUCUUGUUUUAUUGGAAAAUGAUAAAAUGGUGCAGUGGAUUACCACGGCAGUAUGUGUGUGUGAGUGUGAGAAGCCCGGGCCCUGCAUUGAACGCGGCCUGCCAGUUGGCACAAUGGAUGCCACAACCCCCACUCCCAGCCCCCAGCCUACUUCCCAGCGGGCAUUCAUCUGGGCAUGCACAUGGGUGCUACAGCUCUGCCUGGCUAAACGCGUCUGUGCCCCAGAACAAGGGAGCUGAGUGCCCUCUCAAAAUUCACCCGGUACACUCGCUGCCAACCCGCCGACCUUUCUCAGGCAGCAGCCCACCAGAAUCAAAAACAAACACUCUAUGAACCCCAUUUUUUUCUCACGAAAAGUAACACCAAAAAAAAGAUUUUCCAGAAUAAAUAACAGCAGCGAAAUAACGGAUUAGAAAACACGGCAGAAGCAGAACUACAUUAAAAAUCACAGUCCGAACUCGCUCUUUUUUCCCCCCACAAAGUUCGCACAAUAACCAGAUUCUGUUGCAGCUCGAGCCGUUUGCUACUUUCUUUGUGUUUGAUUGUAUGUUUGUUUGUUUCGUGCAGUUGCAGCAGAACAAAGGCAGCGGCUUCCAUUCUGCCACUGUCAAAAAACUUUCCCAACGUGCCCACUGCAUUGCGGAUGCCAACCAACGAAUCAAAGGCACGCUGCAAGCAGACAAAGAGAGUUUGAUGCCAACCUCCAAACCUCUAACAACCAUUACUGGUGAUUUCGCCUGCCUCCCUGGCACCGUGUAAAACAAAAUGGCGCCGUGCCGCACGCUACCACAACAUGGCUGCAUUGUCUGGGUUUGCGGACCGCUCGGUAACUUAAAGAAAAGAAGGCGACGCUUUAGUUUGCAAAAACUGGAGAAGGAAAAGAAAAAGAUGGCCGUCUGAGUGAUCCCCGCUAUUCGGUGUUUGCCAAGCAUUUCACUCAAUGGGAAUUUUGAGGAUGGUGGCAAAUGAUCGUUCCCAUAUAGAAAAACAUGACAUCAUUUUAACCUUUUAUUAUAAACACUGAAACGAAUCUUCAAUAUGAUCUUCCUCUCUACUCAGAUACAGUUUACUAAAACAGCGGCUGGUUUAUAAAGUCAGUUUUGUGAAAAAACAGCACUAAAUGCCGUUUCUCGAGUUGGUACCGAGCAGUUCAAAAUGCAGCAGAUGUAAACCAGAGAAGCGGUGGCAUCCUACAAAAGACACAAAAGAGGGUCUGAUGCCAACCCCGGUGCCAAUGGCAACCAUUAUUGUCUCUGUGCUGUGCCUUCUGCUUUCCCUGGCACUUAUCAAACACAAAAUGGCGCUCAGGGUUUGAUGAUAAUGAGCUAGCUAUACCACUACCCCUCAAUGGGAGCACAGUGUAGUGGCGGCUAUUCGGUGUGGUUGCAGCAGAUUUAAGGGCAGCACAUGGGAGGUUUAAAAGUGUGGGAUGUAUAUGACUGAAAUGUGUUUACUCGCAGUCAGAGGAGACCUGAAUUUCAUUUUCAAAGGCUUUUUAAAGGUGUUAUCUGAUUCGAGAUCCGAGUAGGAAAAAAACAUCAUUCACAGUAUCUCUGUGAAAAGUGUUUUCUGUAGAACUCAUUGAACCUGGAAGAUAUCAGAUCUGAAUGCGGCGUUGCUCUGAUCAUGCUCUGAGUGAAAAUCUCCCAGUUUAUAGUCUGCAUGACUGACUAUGUAAACCAGUUUCUGGUGAUGUACACUAGAAACACCGUUUC